UGUCCCAGGGCUGGAAUCCCUCUUGGCCCAAUGCUCAGGGAAAUGAAGCAGCUCAAUAGAAACGUUUGAUAUGAGUUUGUACAGAUGUUUACACUCUGGUGAGGGGGGCCGAGUACGGAAGCCCUACUGAUCAGCCCACAGCUUUGGGUUUGGAUACUUGGUUUAA
Molecule: long non-coding RNA, 166 nt
Filed under: Octodon degus (degu)
Lineage: Eukaryota; Metazoa; Chordata; Mammalia; Rodentia; Octodontidae
Description: HOXA transcript at the distal tip, conserved region 4 (ENSODEG00000023844.1)
Rfam family: HOXA transcript at the distal tip, conserved region 4
Source: RNAcentral